UAGUGUCCUACCCACAGUCCCUAUGCAAC
RNAcentral lists this non-coding RNA (29 nucleotides) under Mus musculus (house mouse). The record is from RNAcentral. Lineage: Eukaryota; Metazoa; Chordata; Mammalia; Rodentia; Muridae.